RNAcentral lists this ribosomal RNA (496 nucleotides) under uncultured bacterium. RNAcentral's name for it is "partial 16S ribosomal RNA". It matches the Rfam family "Bacterial small subunit ribosomal RNA", at positions 28 to 506 of the family's 1533-position model. The record is from RNAcentral.
GACGAACGCUGGCGGCGUGCCUAAUACAUGCAAGUAGAACGCUGAAGAGAGGAGCUUGCUCUUCUUGGAUGAGUUGCGAACGGGUGAGUAACGCGUAGGUAACCUGCCUUGUAGCGGGGGAUAACUAUUGGAAACGAUAGCUAAUACCGCAUAACAAUGGAUGACACAUGUCAUUUAUUUGAAAGGGGCAAUUGCUCCACUACAAGAUGGACCUGCGUUGUAUUAGCUAGUAGGUGAGGUAAUGGCUCACCUAGGCGACGAUACAUAGCCGACCUGAGAGGGUGAUGGGCGACACUGGGAGUGAGACACGGCCCAGACUCCUACGGGAGGCAGCAGUAGGGAAUCUUCGGCAAUGGGGGCAACCCUGACCGAGCAACGCCGCGUGAGUGAAGAAGGUUUGCGGAUCGUAAAGCUCUGUUGUAAGUCAAGAACGGGUGUGAGAGUGGAAAGGUCACACUGUGACGGUAUCGUACCAGAAAGGGACGGCUAACUACGU